AAUGAACGCUGGCGGCAGGCCUAACACAUGCAAGUCGAACGGAUCCUUCGGGAUGAGUGGCGGACGGGUGAGUAACGCGUGGGAACAUACCCAAAGGUACGGAAUAGCCUCGGGAAACUGGGAGUAAUACCGUAUGUGCUCGAAAGAGGAAAGAUUUAUCGCCUUUGGAUUGGCCCGCGUUGGAUUAGGUAGUUGGUGGGGUAAUGGCCUACCAAGCCGACGAGCCAUAGCUGGUUUGAGAGGAUGAUCAGCCACACUGGUACUGAGACACGGGCCAGACUCCUACGGGAGGCAGCAGUGGGGGAUCUUAGACAAGGGGGGAAACCCUGAUCUAGCCAUGCCGCGUGAUCGAUGAAGGCCUUAGGGUUGUAAAGAUCUUUCAGGUGGGAAGAUAAUGACUGUACAACCAGAAGAAGCCCCGGCUAACUCCGUGCCAGCAGCCGCCGUAA
Molecule: ribosomal RNA, 449 nt
Filed under: uncultured bacterium
Lineage: Bacteria
Description: partial 16S ribosomal RNA
Rfam family: Bacterial small subunit ribosomal RNA
Source: RNAcentral